AGUGAACGCUGGCGGUAGGCCUAACACAUGCAAGUCGAACGGCAGCACAGUAAGAGCUUGCUCUUACGGGUGGCGCGUGGCGGACGGGUGAGGAAUACAUCGGAAUCUACUUUUUCGUGGGGGAUAACGUAGGGAAACUUACGCUAAUACCGCAUACGACCUACGGGUGAAAGCAGGGGAUCUUCGGACCUUUCGCGAUUGAAUGAGCCGAUGUCGGGUUAGUUAGUUGGCGGGUUUAAUGUCGACCAAGGCGACGAUCCGUAGCUGGUCUGAGAGGAUGAACAGCCAGACUGGAAUUGAGAAACGGUCGUUGCUCGUAAGGAUGGGAGCAGUGGGGAAUAUUCGACAAUGGGGGCGUACAUGAUCCAGGCAUACAGCGUGGGUUAUGAUGGCCUUCAGGUUGUAGAGCCCUUGUGUUGGGAAAGAAAAGCAGCAGGUUAAUACCCCGCUGUUCUGACGGUACCCAAAGAAUAAGCACCGGCUAACUUCGUG
Molecule: ribosomal RNA, 492 nt
Filed under: uncultured bacterium
Lineage: Bacteria
Description: partial 16S ribosomal RNA
Rfam family: Bacterial small subunit ribosomal RNA
Source: RNAcentral